AAGCAUUCUGGACAAUAAUAACUAAUACAUGUUUAAGAUAUUUAAGAAAAAAUACAUAUAUAUCUAUACAUGUAAAUAAAUGCAUAGCACACAUAUACACUAUGAUGUAUCACCUGCAGCUUCAACAUUCAGAAUUAUCACUUAACAUCACAGAGUGUAUAUAUUUAAUAUCAUAGAGAAAACAGUUCAUGUCCCUACUGAUGCCUAUUAUCUAAUAUAUUUAUAUCUCUCAUGGGAAUAAAGGCAACCCAGAAAUAACGUUGCCCUCAGCAAGAUCAAGUAGGCUUCUGGUCAGCUAAAGAUGGAGAUUGUUUCCCUCAUCCCACCUGCCUGCCUAGCGCAAACAGAAGUCUUCCCUGGAGGGAGAUGGCAUCACUCAGGACCUCACAGUGAUGCUACUGGUUGUCAUAUGCAACGCUUAUUAGAUAUCGAACACCAGCAGCUGUUUGAGAGGAUCCAACCAAACUGAAGAAAAGGAAACCAAUGAGACAGACCUUCCGGCACUCUUCUAGAAGCUUCAUGUGGACUCUCCUCUAUUUGCUGCCUUUACGAAACCAAGUUGAAAGUUUGGAACCCAGUUGGUAAAAGUGAAUCGCUGCAAAAGAAGUUGCCAAUUAGUUCAUGAAUUAGGAAUGAAGAAAAUAGCCAUAAAAGCUGGAGGGAAACUGAAAACCAUGAGUGGCUCUGUACUCGGAUUACUUAUUAGCAAAUGCCUUUUAGCUCUUAAUUCACUGGGAAGGAUGUAAGACUCAGAGGCGGAGCCAGCAUGCUGUUUGUGCAGGAGUAUUGCGGGAAGUUAGUCUGUGGACCUCCACCUGCAGGGAAGACGUCCAACCUAAAUCAUCAUUGCGGUGAAUAAAUGUACGUUUUCCUGCUUUCUA
Long non-coding RNA from Peromyscus eremicus (cactus mouse), 881 nucleotides. RefSeq lists it as uncharacterized. The transcript is spliced from 2 exons. The record is from RefSeq and is a predicted model, not a curated record. Lineage: Eukaryota; Metazoa; Chordata; Mammalia; Rodentia; Cricetidae.